RNAcentral lists this transfer RNA (80 nucleotides) under Enterobacter hormaechei. RNAcentral's name for it is "tRNA-Arg(cct)". Lineage: Bacteria; Pseudomonadati; Pseudomonadota; Gammaproteobacteria; Enterobacterales; Enterobacteriaceae. The record is from RNAcentral.
ACGCUGGCGUAGCAGGAUUUCGCGGUAGGUGCUUUCCUGUAGCAGCUUGGUGACUGGUUCAGAUUCCAGCGCCAGCGUGC